This 68-nucleotide transfer RNA is filed under the name Marmota monax (woodchuck). RNAcentral's name for it is "tRNA.Ala". The record is from RNAcentral. Lineage: Eukaryota; Metazoa; Chordata; Mammalia; Rodentia; Sciuridae.
GGACUGGGGCUCAGUGGUAGAGCGCUCACCUAGCAUGCUUGAGGCACUGGGUUCAAUCCUCAGCACCA